This 443-nucleotide ribosomal RNA is filed under the name uncultured bacterium. Its description in RNAcentral is "partial 16S ribosomal RNA". It matches the Rfam family "Bacterial small subunit ribosomal RNA", at positions 338 to 795 of the family's 1533-position model. The record is from RNAcentral.
CCUACGGGCGGCAGCAGUGGGGAAUAUUGGACAAUGGGGGGAACCCUGAUCCAGCGACGCCGCGUGAGUGAAGAAGUAUUUCGGUAUGUAAAGCUCUAUCAGCAGGGAAGAAAGAAAUGACGGUACCUGACUAAGAAGCCCCGGCUAACUACGUGCAAGCAGCAGCGGUAAUACGUAGGGGGCAAGCGUUAUCCGGAUUUACUGGGUGUAAAGGGAGCGUAGACGGUGAGACAAGUCUGAAGUGAAAGCCCGGGGCUCAACCCCGGGACUGCUUUGGAAACUGCCUGACUGGAGUGCUGGAGAGGCAAGCGGAAUUCCUAGUGUAGCGGUGAAAUGCGUAGAUAUUAGGAAGAACACCAGUGGCGAAGGCGGCUUGCUGGACAGUAACUGACGUUGAGGCUCGAAAGCGUGGGGAGCAAACAGGAUUAGAUACCCUGGUAGUC